Molecule: unclassified non-coding RNA, 268 nt
Filed under: uncultured fungus
Lineage: Eukaryota; Fungi
Description: sequence contains ITS1
Source: RNAcentral
GUAUAGGUUUAUAGGCACAAAGGCCAUUGAUUACAUUCUAUGACAUACAUUGGGGUAUAUGAAGAAACAUAGGCCUGGAAAUGUAAGGAGAGACAUAAUAUCAAUCCUCAAUCCUGAAUGACUAGCAUUCAGAGAGAUAUCCAGGUCUACAAAAGGUGCACAGGUGGAGAUAUAAAGAUGACAAGUGUGCACAUGCUCCCUAGAGAACCAGCAGCAACUCAUCAGGUUUAUUUCAAUAAUGAUCCUUCCGCAGGUUCACCUACGGAAA